AGAGUUUGAUCAUGGCUCAGAACGUACGCUGGCGGCACGCCUUAUACAUGCAAGUCGAACGAAGUAGCAAUACUUAGUGGCAGACGGGUGAGUAACAUGUGGGUAUCUUCCCUUUGGUGAGGAAUAACACGAGGAAACUUGUGCUAAUACUGGAUAAGUCUUUACAGAGAAAGCUUUAUGCACCAUUGGAUGAGCCCGCACUUGAUUAGUUUGUUGGUGGGGUAAUGGCCUACCAAGACUUUGAUCAAUAGCUGAUUUGAGAGGAUGAUCAGCCACAUUGGGACUGAGACACGGCCCAAACUCCUACGGGAGGCAGCAGUGGGGAAUCUUGCACAAUGGAGGAAACUCUGAUGCAGCGAUGCCGCGUGAGUGAAGAAGGCCCUUGGGUUGUAAAGCUCUUUCGUCGGGGAAGAAAAUGACUGUACCCGAAUAAGAAGGUCCGGCUAACUUCGUGCCAGCAGCCGCGGUAAUACGAAGGGACCUAGCGUAGUUCGGAAUUACUGGGCUUAAAGAGUUCGUAGGUGGUUGAAAAAGUUGGUGGUGAAAUCCCAGAGCUUAACUCUGGAACUGCCAUCAAAACUUUUCAGCUAGAGUGUGAUAGAGGUAAGUGGAAUUUCUAGUGUAGAGGUGAAAUUCGUAGAUAUUAGAAAGAACACCAAAAGCGAAGGCAACUUACUGGGUCACUACUGACACUGAGGAACGAAAGCAUGGGUAGCGAAGAGGAUUAGAUACCCUCGUAGUCCAUGCCGUAAACGAUGUGUGUUAGACGUUGGAAAUUUAUUUUCAGUGUCGCAGCGAAAGCGAUAAACACACCGCCUGGGGAGUACGACCGCAAGGUUAAAACUCAAAUGAAUUGACGGGGACCCGCACAAGUAGUGGAGCAUGUGGUUUAAUUCGAAGAUACGCGCAGAACCUUACCAACACUUGACAUGUUCGUCGCGACUUUAAGAGAUUAAAGUUUUCGGUUCGGCCGGACGAAACACAGGUGCUGCAUGGCUGUCGUCAGCUCGUGUCGUGAGAUGUUGGGUUAAGUCCCGCAACGAGCGCAACCCUCACUUUUAGUUGCCAUCAUUUAGUUGGGCACUCUGAAAGAACUGCCAGUGAUAAGCUGGAGGAAGGUGGGGAUGACGUCAAGUCCUCAUGGCCCUUACGUGUUGGGCUACACACGUGCUACAAUGGUAUUUACAACAGGAAGCAAAACAGCGAUGUUAAGCAAAUCCUUAAAAAAUACCUCAGUUCGGAUUGCACUCUGCAACUCGAGUGCAUGAAGCUGGAAUUACUAGUAAUCGUGGAUCAGCGUGCCACGGUGAAUGCGUUCCCGGGUCUUGUACACACCGCCCGUCACACCAUGGAAGUUGGUUACACCUUAAGGCAA
RNAcentral lists this ribosomal RNA (1375 nucleotides) under uncultured bacterium. RNAcentral's name for it is "bacterial SSU rRNA". It matches the Rfam family "Bacterial small subunit ribosomal RNA". The record is from RNAcentral.